This is a ribosomal RNA of Cricetulus griseus (Chinese hamster), 151 nucleotides long. It matches the Rfam family "5.8S ribosomal RNA". From Rfam's summary of the family: 5.8S ribosomal RNA (5.8S rRNA) is a component of the large subunit of the eukaryotic ribosome. It is transcribed by RNA polymerase I as part of the 45S precursor that also contains 18S and 28S rRNA. The record is from Ensembl. NCBI's taxonomy places the organism in Eukaryota, Metazoa, Chordata, Mammalia, Rodentia, Cricetidae.
AACUCUUAGUGGUGGAUCACUCGGCUCCUGCAUUGGUGAAGAAUGCAGCUAGCUGCGAGAAUUAAUGUGAAUUGGAGGACAUUGAUCAUCAACACUUGGAACACACUUGCCGCCCAGGGUUCCUCCAGGGUCUAAUCCUGUCUGAUCAUCA